GACGAACGCUGGCGGCGUGCUUAACACAUGCAAGUCGAACGGAAAGGCCCUGCUGUUGUGGGGUGCUCGAGUGGCGAACGGGUGAGUAACACGUGAGUAACCUGCCCUUGACUUUGGGAUAACUUCAGGCAACUGGGGCUAAUACCGGAUAGGAGCUCCUGCUGCAUGGUGGGGGUUGGAAAGAUUCGGCGGUUGGGGAUGGACUCGCGGCUUAUCAGCUUGUUGGUGGGGUAGUGGCUUACCAAGGCUUUGCCGGGUAGCCGGCCUGAGAGGGUGACCGGCCACAUUGGGACUGAGAUACGGCCCAGACUCCUACGGGAGGCAGCAGUGGGGAAUAUUGCACAAUGGGCGGAAGCCUGAUGCAGCAACGCCGCGUGCGGGAUGACGGCCUUCGGGUUGUAAACCGCUUUCGCCUGUGACGAAGCGUGAGUGACGGUAAUGGGUAAAGAAGCACCGGCUAACUACGUG
This 468-nucleotide ribosomal RNA is filed under the name uncultured bacterium. RNAcentral describes it as "partial 16S ribosomal RNA". It matches the Rfam family "Bacterial small subunit ribosomal RNA", at positions 28 to 507 of the family's 1533-position model. The record is from RNAcentral.